UACGUAGGGUGCAAGCGUUAAUCGGAAUUACUGGGCGUAAAGCGUGCGCAGGCGGCUUUGCAAGACAGAUGUGAAAUCCCCGGGCUUAACCUGGGAACUGCAUUUGUGACUGCAUGGCUGGAGUGCGGCAGAGGGGGAUGGAAUUCCGCAUGUAGCAGUGAAAUGCGUAGAUAUGCGGAGGAACACCGGUGGCGAAGGCAAUCCCCUGGGCCUGCACUGACGCUCAUGCACGAAAGCGUGGGGAGCAAACAGG
RNAcentral lists this ribosomal RNA (253 nucleotides) under uncultured bacterium. Its description in RNAcentral is "partial 16S ribosomal RNA". It matches the Rfam family "Bacterial small subunit ribosomal RNA", at positions 524 to 776 of the family's 1533-position model. The record is from RNAcentral.